Non-coding RNA from Candidatus Filomicrobium marinum, 96 nucleotides. It matches the Rfam family "Bacterial small signal recognition particle RNA". From Rfam's summary of the family: The signal recognition particle (SRP) is a universally conserved ribonucleoprotein involved in the co-translational targeting of proteins to membranes. Archaeal SRP consists of a 7S RNA and homologues of the eukaryotic SRP19 and SRP54 proteins. Lineage: Bacteria; Pseudomonadati; Pseudomonadota; Alphaproteobacteria; Hyphomicrobiales; Hyphomicrobiaceae. The record is from Rfam.
AUGGGCUGGCGGCGGACGCAUCCCUCGCCAACCGGGUCAGGUCGGGAACGAAGCAGCCCUAACGAUUAGGACGCGGGUCGUCCGCCAGCCUUAAAU